This 856-nucleotide ribosomal RNA is filed under the name uncultured archaeon. Its description in RNAcentral is "bacterial SSU rRNA". It matches the Rfam family "Archaeal small subunit ribosomal RNA", at positions 67 to 910 of the family's 1478-position model. The record is from RNAcentral.
CCUAAAUUUCCCAUGGCAAACUGCUCAGUAACACAUGAUCAACUUACCCUAUAGAGAAAAAUAACCUCGGGAAACUGAGGAUAAUGUUUCAUAGUUGAAUUGGCUUGGAAAAGUUUUUCAACAAAAGGAAUAAGAUAAAUGGUUCUUAUUUGCUAUAGGAUAGGAUCGUGUUCGAUUAUGGUAGUUGGUGAGGUAAUGGCUCACCAAGCCGAUAAUCGAUAGGGGCCGUGAGAGCGGGAGCCCCGAGAUGGGUACUGAGACAACGACCCAGGCCUUACGAGGCGCAGCAGGCGCGGAACCUCCGCAAUACACGAAAGUGUGACGGGGUUACCCAAAGUGUCCAAUUUUGGACUGUGGUAGGUGAGUAAUGUUCCCUACUAGAAAGGAGAGGGCAAGGCUGGUGCCAGCCGCCGCGGUAAAACCAGCUCUUCAAGUGGUCGGGAUAAUUAUUGGGCUUAAAGUGUCCGUAGCUGGUUUAGAAAGUUCCUGGUAAAAUCAGGUAGCUUAACUAUCUGUAUGCUAGGAAUACUACUAUACUAGAGGGCGGGAGAGGUCUGAGGUACUACAGGGGUAGGGGUGAAAUCUUAUAAUCCUUGUAGGACCACCAGUGGCGAAGGCGUCAGACUGGAACGCGCCUGACAGUGAGGGACGAAAGCCAGGGGAGCGAACCGGAUUAGAUACCCGGGUAGUCCUGGGCCGUAAACGAUGCAUACUAGGUGAUGGUACGGCCAUGAGCCGUAUCAGUGCCGUAGGGAAACCGUUAAGUGUGCCGCCUGGGAAGUACGGUCGCAAGGCUAAAACUUAAAGGAAUUGGCGGGGGAGCACCACAAGGGGUGAAGCCUGCGGUUCAAUUGGA